CAAUAGCGUAUAUUUAAGUUGUUGCAGUUAAAAAGCUCGUAGUUGGAUUUCGGGUGGGACGCAGCGGUCUCGCAUUGCGUUUGUACUGCUGCAGCCCUCCUUCUUGCCGGGGGCGGCCUCUCGGACUUCACUGUCUGGGGGUCAGAAUCGGCGAUGUUACUUUGAGUAAAUUAGAGUGUUCAAAGCAAGCUUACGCUCUGAAUAUAAUAGCAUGGGAUAACACGACAGGACUCUGGCCUAUCGUGUUGGUCUAUAGGACCAGAGUAAUGAUUAAGAGGGACAGUCGGGGGCAUUCGUAUUCCGUUGUCCGAGGUGAAAUUCUUGGAUUUACGGAAGACGAACAUCUGCGAAAGCAUUUGCCAAGGAUGUUUUCAUUGA
Molecule: ribosomal RNA, 378 nt
Filed under: uncultured eukaryote
Lineage: Eukaryota
Description: partial 18S ribosomal RNA
Rfam family: Eukaryotic small subunit ribosomal RNA
Source: RNAcentral